Non-coding RNA from Aegilops tauschii subsp. strangulata, 1413 nucleotides. The record is from RefSeq and is a predicted model, not a curated record. NCBI's taxonomy places the organism in Eukaryota, Viridiplantae, Streptophyta, Magnoliopsida, Poales, Poaceae.
CUCGCACGAGCCUGCCUGCCGAUCCGCCGAUCCCAUCUCGCCCAUCGUCACCUCCUCCCGACCUCCACCACGCCUCACUGCGCGCCGCCGGCCGCCGCCGCGCCCCGCCGCGCCGAGCCACCGCGCGCCGCCGCCACCCCGUCGCGGAAACAUAGUCUGAUACGACAACUUCUGAAUCAAAGACCAGAAGGAAACAAUUGACUUAAAGAGUUGCAACGAGUUGAUCACAUCCACAUGUCUUUGCAACGGAGCCCUUGCACAAAAGUAAAUUGUGGCCACAAAUGGUGCACUAGCCACAUAAGAUGUACUGAUGCACCAUAUGCCUCAAGAACAAGAGUAACACCGUGUCUCAAGUUCUGCUGCAGCUAGAUUCCGAUCUCCUGGUCUUGCCUGCGAAUGUUUUUUUAUUCAAAGUGGUUCAGUUCCAUUCCAUACAAAUUAGUCAUAUUAUGAGUUGCAGGAACCUUUCUUUAUUUUUAGUAUAUGUCCAGUUAUGUUUUCUUGCGAUGUGAACACUAAUGAACAGAAUAACAUUAUGGUGUAUUAUUUUUUACAAGCAUGCAAUCUGUAAAGUUAGUUUCGUUUACAAAAUCAUUCGUCAGCGACUGAAUCGGAGGGAGAUUUAUGAAAAGUGAACUAGCUGACAAACUGACAUAAGGAAGGUCUACUUGAGAUUAAGCGAACUGACAGUUUUCAGGCUGAUGUCGAGAUAGAUUUUGAAAUGACAUCAAUCGACAGCGCCAAUCCUUUCGAUCCUUCCCGACUUUUGGACGUGGAGAAGCAUUGCCGGGAAGCGGGUGCAUCGGUUCAUGGCGGCAUAGGGCCAUUUGGACUUAUUGUCCUAGCCUCUGACAACAUAUAGGAGCACACUGCUAUUCACUUCCGGGUGUACAAGUCAGAGCAGAAGUACAUGAUACUCAUGUGCUCUGAUCUAAGAAGGUUAAUGCUUAUGGUUUUUGCCUUCAUGAGUAAAAGGAAUUUUUCUUUUUCUUUGCACAGUUCUUCAUUGAGACAAGGACUAUACACACCAGCCUAUGGAGGCUUCUUUGAAUUUGAUCUUCAAAAGGAAAAGAAGAUAUCUCUGAGAACUCUGAUUGAUCCGUCAGCGGUGAAGAGCUUUGGCGGUGGUGGCAGGGUCUGCAACAUGGCCAGAGUUUAUCCCAUAGCGGUUGUCGACAGUGGGGCCCACAUGUGUGCCUUCAACAACGGCAGUACCACGAUCAGAGCACGUAAACAUGGAAAAAAAAGCUGCUCAUUUCCUUGACCUCUAGGAUUCAUAUAUUGUAGUUUACUGUCAGCGUUAGUAGGGAACUGUCAGCGUUACCCCCUGCUGAGUAUUGCAUAUUUAGUACGUGCAAGUCUGCUAAGGGCCCUCGAGUUAUGCUUACGGAUGUUGCUAAGUUUCUUUUUCUC